UACAUAGAGCUACAUAGCCUGACAUGCUGCUAGGUUUCGUAUCCUCCUGAUCACUUUUUACCACGACAACUGUUUUUUCUCUUGUCGGUCCUGUCUCCACCACGGUCUCCUCUCCGUCUGUCAGGUGUUUUAACUCUGUCUCCUCUCCGUCUUUCAGGUGUUUUAACGCUGUCUCCUCUUCGUCUGUCAGGUGUUUUAACUCUGUCUCCUCUCCGUCUGUCAGGUGUUUUAACUCUGUCUCCUCUCCGUCUGUCAGGUGUUUUAACGCUGUCUCCUCUUCGUCUGUCAGGUGUUUUAACUCUGUCUCCUCUCCGUCUGUCAGGUGUUUUAACUCUGUCUCCUCUCCGUCUGUCAGGUGUUUUAACGCUGUCUCCUCUUCGUCUGUCAGGUGUUUUAACUCUGUCUCCUCUCCGUCUGUCAGGUGUUUUAACUCUGUCUCCUCUCCGUCUGUC
Esox lucius (northern pike) is the source of this 452-nucleotide long non-coding RNA. RefSeq lists it as uncharacterized. The record is from RefSeq and is a predicted model, not a curated record. Lineage: Eukaryota; Metazoa; Chordata; Actinopteri; Esociformes; Esocidae. The transcript is spliced from 4 exons.